UGGGGAAUAUUGCACAAUGGGGGAAACCCUGAUGCAGCCAUGCCGCGUGUGUGAAGAAGGCCUUCGGGUUGUAAAGCACUUUCAGUAGGGAGGAAAGGGUGCUGGCUAAUAUCCAGUAUCUGUGACGUUACCUACAGAAGAAGCACCGGCUAACUCCGUGCCAGCAGCCGCGGUAAUACGGAGGGUGCAAGCGUUAAUCGGAAUUACUGGGCGUAAAGCGCACGCAGGCGGUUAGAUAAGUCAGAUGUGAAAGCCCCGGGCUCAACCUGGGAACUGCAUUUGAAACUGUCUGGCUAGAGUCUUGUAGAGGGGGGUAGAAUUCCAGGUGUAGCGGUGAAAUGCGUAGAGAUCUGGAGGAAUACCGGUGGCGAAGGCGGCCCCCUGGACAAAGACUGACGCUCAGGUGCGAAAGCGUGGGGAGCAAACAGG
This 429-nucleotide ribosomal RNA is filed under the name uncultured bacterium. Its description in RNAcentral is "bacterial SSU rRNA". It matches the Rfam family "Bacterial small subunit ribosomal RNA", at positions 355 to 776 of the family's 1533-position model. The record is from RNAcentral.